UGGGAUAUCAUCAUAUACUGU
Molecule: non-coding RNA, 21 nt
Filed under: Cervus elaphus (red deer)
Lineage: Eukaryota; Metazoa; Chordata; Mammalia; Artiodactyla; Cervidae
Also listed under: 2 other names
Source: RNAcentral